CUGGCGGCGUGCCUAACACAUGCAAGUCGAGCGAUGAAAUCCUUCGGGGUGGAUUAGCGGCGGACGGGUGAGUAACACGUGGGUAACCUGCCUCGUAGAGGGGGAUAGCCUCCCGAAAGGGAGAUUAAUACCGCAUAAUAUAUCUUGAUCGCAUGAUUGAGAUAUCAAACGAGUAAUCGGCUACGAGAUGGACCCGCGGCGCAUUAGCUAGUUGGUGAGGUAACGGCUCACCAAGGCGACGAUGCGUAGCCGACCUGAGAGGGUGAUCGGCCACAUUGGAACUGAGACACGGUCCAGACUCCUACGGGAGGCAGCAGUGGGGAAUAUUGCGCAAUGGAGGAAACUCUGACGCAGCAACGCCGCGUGAAUGAUGAAGGCCUUAGGGUUGUAAAGUUCUGUCUUCUGGGACGAUAAUGACGGUACCAGAGGAGGAAGCCACGGCUAACUACGUGCCAGCCGCCGC
This 463-nucleotide ribosomal RNA is filed under the name uncultured bacterium. RNAcentral describes it as "bacterial SSU rRNA". It matches the Rfam family "Bacterial small subunit ribosomal RNA", at positions 36 to 518 of the family's 1533-position model. The record is from RNAcentral.